Long non-coding RNA from Scylla paramamosain (green mud crab), 2552 nucleotides. RefSeq lists it as uncharacterized. The record is from RefSeq and is a predicted model, not a curated record. Lineage: Eukaryota; Metazoa; Arthropoda; Malacostraca; Decapoda; Portunidae. The transcript has 4 exons.
AUAGUUUAAUUUCCAGCUAAGAUGAGAGUUAACCGAGACAUAUAUGGUGGAUAAAAAGCUCUUAAAAAUAUGGGUGUUCCGAGGAAAGUAUACCACUAGGGAAUGUGGGUUACAUUAGUAAUGGAGGAAUAUUUUGAGAGCAGACGAAACUAAAGUGUUGCCAUGGUGACGGUGGUGGUGGGCAUGAUACAGAUGCGGGAAGUGGAGUUUGUGCCCGAUGGAGACAUGCAGCUGGACAAAUUGUGUUGCUCAUUGGUCAGACUGGAGUUUACAUGUGUACCUCCUUCACCAUCAUUGGUGGACACUUCACCAUGAGUGAUGCUUGAGCUGUCACGGUGCUGCUGCUGUUGUCUGCCAUCAUCCCCCUGACACAGACCACCCUGCAGACCACCUUCAUCCUGGGUGCCACACGUCACUGCUGCUACAACUCAGAGCAACUGGAGCGCAAGCCAGGAAGGGAGAUGGUUACCUUCUUGUUGAUGUGCAAUCUUGCUACGUGGGCGAUCAACAUUUAAAAAUAGCAAUGUGGUGCUUCCUUAAUGCAAAUAGUCUUGGCCCAAAAAACUUGUGAUGUCAAACACUAACUUCUCUUAAAUCUUACUAAAAUGUAUGCGCAUCACUUUCUGAUUUCAUCCCAAUGGCACACAAACCAAAAUACCUGAGUAUGGAGAUGGCUGGACUACCUCCUUUGGCCACCCCUGUUAUAUCUUAAUUUCCCACUGUCUUUCCUGUGUGCUGGUUAAGCUACUCACUGCUAAAGUCCCUGGAAACUAGGUAGAAUAAUUUAGAAUGACAUGGUUAAGUUAAUGCUGAUAAAAUCUCAUUUGUAAUAUUCAGGAAGAUUGAAUUAUUCUUCCUCUGUUGAAGCAAAUGAUAUAACAUUGACUAGAAGCUUUCACAAUAUUUAUAAGCUUUCUUGUAUCAGAGAUCUUUUGAAAAUCCAACCAUUAAUUUGUAAAUACUUGUAUAGUGUAGCUGGCAUGAGGGUUGCAGUCUUCAUUAUUUACUAGUGGACAAGCAACAAGUGAUGGUGUGGCUCUGAGCCACUGUAGUAGGGAUGUUAUGGUUUAAGUGUAGGAAGUUGCAAAUGCUCACCUAACAAUUGCACCUUAGUAGAAAAACACAAACAGGAAGUUUAUGCAAGUUUUUAUCCUUAUAUAAAAUGUUGUAUUGCAUCAAACCUCCAUACAUUACUGUCUCUAUCCAGUAUGAGACCGGUGUUCAGGAAGCACAAGCAUGUGCUGAAUAACAAGAAGCCGGCAUUGGUGAAGGUGACAACAUUUCAUCUAUUUAUACAUACUUUUUAUUAUUAAAGCUUAUCUUAUAAUUAUUUCUGAAGAGAUUGACUAAUUUUUGUAGUAUUUAUGACUUAGAACUAUGAUAAAGCUAUGAAUUGAUAUAAUUCCUGAUUUGUUUUAUCUUUUCAUUAUCCUUCCUUUGUUAAUUGAGCAUUUUAUAUUACUUAGCUUAAAAAUGCAAGAACGGUUCAGAAGUAUCCAACCUUGGGCUAAGGGCCAAAAUUAUGGUAUCAUUCAAAAUGUCCUUCAAAGAAAAGCCCUCUGUAAUCCAACACACUUAGCCCAUUAAUCCUUCCAUUUCUCAUCAAUUUGUUCAACAUUCAUAUUUUUCCCUUAUAGGGUUGAACAAUUUUCAUGGGUUCUCAGAGCAAAAGGCUUCCUCAUUCCUCCCCAAGGUAUUCUCGGAUGGUAAGCAGGUUUGACUCUGGAGCAAACCUGACCAAGGGCUACUGCCCAAGGCUACAGAGGUUCCUCUCCCUGAGGCUGAAUGCACCAUGUGAGAUGGUUCUGUUAUGUGGAUGAAUGUCAUGGUGGAUAGCAGUGCCACCACAUUCCUACAAUCAUCCAUCACUCCACUGCUCAAACGCUUCUGCAACCAAUGAUAGGUAUGCUGCCACAUUCUGCAUGGUCUCCUUGGCUCUCAGAUAAGGAUACUGUCAACAGGUUUGGGAUUGCCAAAAAAUCAUAAGGAGCUAUGUCUGAAAAGUCCAGAGAGAGAGAGAGAGAGAAAGAAUGAGCAAGAGAAAGAGUAGGAUGAAGCAAAGGAAGAGUCAAGAGGGAGGAAGAGAGAGUAGGACAAGAAAAAACAGAACAAAUAAAUCCCCUACACGUCUUGUCUCCAUUCACACAAGCCAUGAAAAGCUUGUCCAUCCCUGAGUGCUCAGAAGCAGUGUUCCACUGAUGAUGUGGAAACUUGAGACACCCAAUCAUUUAAUGGGCUUUAGUAGGUUUUGUCACCAGUCUUCUGUGUGUCACUGACUACAUUUUGAAAUUUUUAUCUGUUCUAUUUAAUUUUGUGUGUAUGUACACAAUGUUUAUGGUCAAUAAACUAUUUAUAAAACUAUUUAUCUGUGUGAGUAAGAUAAAAGCAGUUAUUGUUAUUAUUAUUAUUAUUAUUAUUAUUAUUAUUAUUAUUAUUAUUAUUAUUAUUAUUAUUAUUACACAUUUUCCUCCUUGUAUUUAAAUAUUAUUAUUAUUAUUAUUAUUAUUAUUAUCAUGAAUUGUUCUUGUUUAUAAAUAAAAUACUGUAACUGA